CCUUCUACUUAUUAUUGCUUCGGCCUAUGAAUUUUUACACUAUUCUCAAGGCUUCUACAAGUCUAUGAUCUUUGUUUUCACUAUCAUAUUGGAGAUCUCCAUAUGCUCCAGCACUAUCUUCUCCUUUAAGACUGCAAAUGGUCUUGUGUAGACUACUGCUCCAAUACACUUGUGCUAUGACGAGGGCUUUGUGUUACGUGCUUAUGAAGAUUCACCUGUCUCUAUCUUUACCUUUGAUAAUGAUCUUGUGCUACUGAUACAUGGCUUCUCUUAUGAUUCAAAGUGUUGUAGCUGCUCUUUAUUUGCUUCAAAACCCUUUAUCAUGCCUUUUGACAGAACACUGCUUUUUUUAACUCUGCAUCUUGCCAUAUCUUUUUUACCAUGCCUAUGUUUUGAUCGUCUUUCUAGUAUUUGUUACUAUCUUUCCCUGUGUAUGAGGACUGCUUACUUGGCUUGGGACUACCAUCUAUACAUGCUAUGGACUACUAUGCUUUAUCAAAAUCUUAUUUAUCAUGAAACUCAAAAACUAUGGAAUGCCAUGCAUACUUUCUUGUGGGUAUCACAUUAUUCCUGCUCGCAUAAGACUCGUCUCAAAAACCAAAUAAGCAAAGACCCUAGCUGCAUGUACAAAAAACCUUACUUCUAUGAAUAACAAAAAGAACUUGAAAGGUUGUGACAGACCUGGCAAGUAACAGUAAUAUGCAUGGUUCUUGCAUGAUCCUUGGAUGCGUUAUGAAAGAAGACUUUGCAUGAAUUCAAAGAAGACUUUUCCCCAUGCUUGUCAUUGUAACAAUGCAUAUCUCAUGUUCAAAACCUUGAAAUAAGCCCUUGACUUCUCUAAACUGCCGGUCAUCACUUGUGGAAGUGUACCUUUAGAGACAUCAUAUCAGAGGGUUAAUCAUUGUAUUUAUGCAUCCACAAGCCUUUAUGAGUAUAGAGGAUGGAAAUCAAAGCCUUCCAGGGUGGGGCAUCGCCUCUUUACAUGGGGUUUGAGGUACCUAGAGAUACUUCAGGGUUCUCUGGUGGUAUGGAUAGGAGGGCAGGGAUAUGCUAGAUGUUCUUUGGAAGGCAAGUAUUUGUAUGGAGUUACUUGUCUGGCAGUGCUCCUCAAAUAUGUGUUUCUCUUGAGAUCCCUUGAGAUAUUUUGUCACUGGAAGAAGAUGAGACCCGUGCUAAACACGGUAAUAGUUGGAUAGUCUCAGUGAUUUAGUGGGAGGAUGGGAUGCAUGCAAAUACAAAGAAUAUUGUAAAACAUUGCAAUUCUGUAGGUAUUCUUAUGUAGAAGGGAACCUUCACAUGGUGGCCAGGCCACUAAAAUAUUUGCAAAAAAUGACACAAUUGAUCAUGUGUAUCAUGUACUAGUUGUUAGACAUCUUGGAUCAUUUCUUUAUGCAGUAUUUUGAAUUUGUUGUUAAGGGGUCUUAAUUAUCAUGGAGUAUUUGAAAGAGUUGGAAACUCUUAGACAACUUUGACAUCUUAUAACUUAUAUAUCAUGACGUUGAAUCAAUAUUUUAAU
This is a long non-coding RNA of Cryptomeria japonica (Japanese cedar), 1516 nucleotides long. RefSeq lists it as uncharacterized. The record is from RefSeq and is a predicted model, not a curated record. NCBI's taxonomy places the organism in Eukaryota, Viridiplantae, Streptophyta, Pinopsida, Cupressales, Cupressaceae. The transcript has 3 exons.